Long non-coding RNA from Telopea speciosissima, 367 nucleotides. RefSeq lists it as uncharacterized. The transcript has 3 exons. The record is from RefSeq and is a predicted model, not a curated record. NCBI's taxonomy places the organism in Eukaryota, Viridiplantae, Streptophyta, Magnoliopsida, Proteales, Proteaceae.
AUUUUUUUACAAUCCAUUAAGAUUUGAAAUCAACAAUGGUGGCUUUGUUCUGAAUGACAGAGCAUGAACCAGUUGAAAAUUUUUCCUCAUCAUCAUUGCUUGGAGUGUCCGAUGGAAGGACAUGGAGAGAGAUUGAAACAGGGGUGAUGCUGACGGUGUAGACAAGAGUAUGAUUCCCUGAUAAGUAGUCACUAUUCAUUUGAUUACGGUAUUUGUAGCAAUUCAUUCAUCCCAUUCUUUCACCAUAUUUUUAUUUCAUUGUACACUGACUGGUGUUGGAUUGAAUUCUUUGAGAGGGUCUGGAAGCAGCCUUGGUAUGUACGAUUUUGUUGUAAGUUUCUUGCUGCUUCUCCUAUUCCUUUCAUUU